CAGUAGCCGCGGUAAUACCAGCAGCCCAAGUGGUGGUCGCGAUUAUUGGGCCUAAAGCGCUCGUAGCCGGGCCGGUAAGUCCCUUGUGAAAUCGGACGGCCUAACCGUUCGGCGUGCAAGGGAUAUUGUCGGUCUUGAGGCCGGGAGACGUCCGAGGUACUCCGGGGGUAGCGGUGAAAUGUUCUGAUCCUCGGGGGACCACCGGUGGCGAAGGCGUUCGACGAGAACGGGCCUGACGGUGAGGGGCGAAGGCUAGGGGAGCAAACGGGAUUAGAGACCCGAGUAGUCCCUGUCUCUUAUU
RNAcentral lists this ribosomal RNA (301 nucleotides) under uncultured bacterium. RNAcentral's name for it is "partial 16S ribosomal RNA". It matches the Rfam family "Archaeal small subunit ribosomal RNA", at positions 459 to 759 of the family's 1478-position model. The record is from RNAcentral.